GUGGUGCAUGCAUGUAAUCCCAGCUACACAGGAAAUUGAGGGAAGAGAAUCACUUGAGCCCAGGAUUCCAAGACUUGCCUGCGCAACAUAAUGAGACCCUCUGUUUA
RNAcentral lists this small RNA (107 nucleotides) under Marmota monax (woodchuck). The record is from RNAcentral. Lineage: Eukaryota; Metazoa; Chordata; Mammalia; Rodentia; Sciuridae.